RNAcentral lists this ribosomal RNA (253 nucleotides) under uncultured bacterium. RNAcentral's name for it is "partial 16S ribosomal RNA". It matches the Rfam family "Bacterial small subunit ribosomal RNA", at positions 524 to 776 of the family's 1533-position model. The record is from RNAcentral.
UACGAAGGGGGCUAGCGUUGCUCGGAAUUACUGGGCGUAAAGCGCACGUAGGCGGCUUCUUAAGUCGGGUGGUGAAAUCCUGGAGCUCAACUCCAGAACUGCCUUCGAUACUGGGAAGCUCGAGUCCGGGAGAGGUGAGUGGAACUGCGAGUGUAGAGGUGAAAUUCGUAGAUAUUCGCAAGAACACCGGUGGCGAAGGCGGCGUUCUGGACUGCAACUGACACUGAAAAACAAAGCCAGGGGAGCAAACGGG